This 1313-nucleotide ribosomal RNA is filed under the name Clupea harengus (Atlantic herring). RNAcentral's name for it is "partial 16S ribosomal RNA". It matches the Rfam family "Bacterial large subunit ribosomal RNA", at positions 551 to 2568 of the family's 2925-position model. The record is from RNAcentral. Lineage: Eukaryota; Metazoa; Chordata; Actinopteri; Clupeiformes; Clupeidae.
UGAAACAACGCACUUAAGCACAGAAAAGCAGAGACUACCUCUCGUACCUUUUGCAUCAUGAUCUAGCCAGUAAACCCAAGCAAAGAGAACUCUAGUUUGAACCCCCGAAACCAGACGAGCUACUCCGGGACAGCCUAUAGUAGGGCCAACCCGUCUCUGUGGCAAAAGAGUGGGAAGAUCCCCGAGUAGAGGUGAAAGACCUACCGAGUCCGGUUAUAGCUGGUUGCUCAAGAAAUGAAUACAAGUUCAGCCCCGCUACGCCCCUCGCCACAACAGUUUUACUAAGACUAGGCAAAGGGACACUAACGGAAGUUAGUUGAAGGAGGUACAGCUCCCUCAACAAAGGACACAACCUUCAACAGGAGGCUAAAGAAUAAAUUAAAACGAGGCCACAGGUUUCAGUGGGCCCUAAAAGCAGCCAUCUGAACAGAAAGCGUUAAAGCUCGGACCAGAACAAGCCUAUUAUAAUAUUAUAACCUCUAAUGCCCCUAUUACUACUGAGCCAUCCUAUGCCUACAUAGGAGGGACCAUGCUAGAACGAGUAACAAGAAGAAUGAACUUCUCCCCGCACAAGUGUAAGUUGGAUCGGACCCCCCACCAACAAUUAACGAACCCAAUAAUAGAGGAGCCUACACCCCCGCCACCCUAGGCCAAGAAGACCACGUAUUACCAUAUCGUUAACCCCACACAGGAGUGCUAGACAAGGGAAAGACUAAAAGGAUGAAAAGGAACUCGGCAAACCGAAACCCCGCCUGUUUACCAAAAACACCGCCUCCUGACCACACCACAUAGGAGGUCCCGCCUGCCCAGUGACCAAAAGUUUAACGGCCGCGGUAUUUUAACCGUGCAAAGGUAGCGCAAUCAAUUGUCUUUUAAAUGAAGACCUGUAUGAAUGGCAUAACGAGGGUUUAACUGUCUCUUUCUCCUGGUCAGUGAAACUGAUCUACCCGUGCAGAAGCGGGUAUGAAUAUACAAGACGAGAAGACCCUAUGGAGCUUUAGACGCCCACCAAUCACGAAAAGCAGGUCUCGCUCAACAGACUUCCAAACAACGUGAUACUGGCACAAACGUCUUCGGUUGGGGCGACCGCGGGAGAGAAAAAAGCUCCCGAGAGGAUUGGGGCUACCCUAAAACCAAGAGCUACACCUCUAAGUCACAAAACAUUUGACCAAAAAUGAUCCGGCUACAUGCCGAUUAACGAACCAAGUUACCCUAGGGAUAACAGCGCAAUCCCUUCCCAGAGUCCAUAUCGACGAAGGGGUUUACGACCUCGAUGUUGGAUCAGGACAUCCUAAUGGUGCAGCCGCUAUUAA